GGCUUCAGCUGGGUGUCUGAGGAAGAAGCAACAGAGGCCAUUACCUGGGUUGGAGAAGGGAGGCAGAAAAGGCCUGGGGUAUGAGGCCCAGCGUGCCCACUGGGCCCCAGGAGAUGGGGGCUGGUAUGGAGGCCUGAGCAGGGCAAAUCUGCAGCCUGGGCCAGCCCAGAGGGUGCCCGUCUGCUCUGUGGGGUGCAGGUGGGGGAACCAACCAGGGGGUGGCCACCACUGCGGAACCAGGGGGCUACGGCCCAGUUGGGGGCACCUUGCACUCAGGAGCCCCUCCUGCUCCAAGCAGAGGGCUCUUAUUUGACCCUACGGAGAUGAGAAGAGAAUCCUGGUGAUGCCUGAGGCUGAAUUUCCCACUGGACAGGUAGAGGCAGAAGAAGGUUUCACAUGUGAACAAAGAAGGUCGGGGGCCACGUCAACAAACAAAGGAUGCUGAGGCCGUCAAGCCAUCAAGCCAGCAGCCACCGCAGCCUGCCCUGACUGUGUACCCUGAGAGGAUUCAGAUUGGAGAAAAGCAGGAUACUGGCUCCAGCAGGUGUUCAAUGUUCAGUGAAUAAAUCAACAAGGAAUAAGGGAGUAAACGAGAGGGUACCAAGAGGGAUCACAACUGCCUGAGAAAGCU
Molecule: long non-coding RNA, 631 nt
Organism: Bos taurus (domestic cattle)
Lineage: Eukaryota; Metazoa; Chordata; Mammalia; Artiodactyla; Bovidae
Source: Ensembl